AAGUAACGAGUAAGUUCAAUUUAAUAAUUACUGAUUGCAAUUCCUGCGCUGUAAUAAGUCAGAGUCUAUCGUGUUUUUGCAAAACAUUUUGUUGUUACUAUUAUCACUCUUAAACUGAACAUACUGUUUUAACAAUAAUUACUUAUCGUUAGUGUCCUCGGUAAAAGCUAAAUUUUAAAACACGAAAGAUAGUUCCAAAAAUCAUAAGAAAAAUAAAAUACGUAAGGUUUAAUCAAAGCAAAGGACAAAAAAAGCUUUUUACUGUAACACUUUGAACUUGAAAUUUUAAUAAAAACUGAGUGUGACCAUAGGUAUACAACACUAUUACAUAGGUGUUCAAUUAGAUAAGUGCAUAAGGCAUCAAGCAUCGCCAACCGAAGGGCCAUCGUCGCAAAUUUCCAAGAAAGGAACAUUUAGUAUAUUCAAAAAUUCGGAGUUUAAAACUACUUGGAGACCAUUAGUAGCAUACUGGCUGUUAGGACUUUGCAACAAUUAUGGCUAUGUUGUCAUGCUUACUGCUGCUAAUGAUAUACUCAGUGAGGAAUCAGAAGAGCCAUCGAAUAAUUCAACGGACAACCCCGAGCGCGAAUGUAACUAUAUGUCCACGGGAGCCAUAUUGUUAGCAGAUAUCCUGCCGUCCCUAUUAAUUAAAAUUACGGCCCCUUUCCUGCCUUUUUUUGUCAAGUAAUGACUAAAUUUUUACUUCGAGAUAUUA
Molecule: unclassified non-coding RNA, 715 nt
Filed under: Agrilus planipennis (emerald ash borer)
Lineage: Eukaryota; Metazoa; Arthropoda; Insecta; Coleoptera; Buprestidae
Description: battenin-like, transcript variant X3
Source: RNAcentral